UAUUUUUUAAUUUUACAUAUGUAGUGUCAUGCUAGCAUUAUUGCUUACGUAUAAAUGCGAGUGUGUUUUACAUUUAUAUAAUGCCUUUAAUUUUAACCUCUGCAUUUUCACUAAUGCCUUUAAUUAUCCUCUGUUUUACAUGUCAGUUACGACACAAAAGCUUCAUAGAAAAAGUAUCAGCUUUUGACUCAAAUUUCGACCGUGCCCCUAUCAUUUCCGAAAAUCAAAGCAACCCCAAGCAAUUCCAGAAUCAUUUUUAUGCGUCUCAAAAUCCAUGAUGUUGCAGCAAAGGAAAUAUCAGACACGACUCUUAUUCCAAAGGCUCCAACCAGAAAUGUAUCAGAUUCCCCAAUCAUUUCUGAAACCAUAUUUAUGGCUGCAAAACAGACAUCGUGCGGGCAUCUCUUACUAGUUAAUCUCUAAAAAGUGAUAGAGAUAGGUGUAACGGGGCAAGAACUUUUUGAAGUCAAGUCUUCAACUUUUGAAGUCAAGUGCAUCGUAUCUUCUACAUGCGUAAAAGAGGCUCUUGACUAAUUGAUUUGUGAGUUAAUUUUUGAAGUCAAGUCUUCAACUUUUGAGAUGGCGUGAAAUUAGAAGUUAGACAAAUGAGCAGCACCAUAAAAGAAAAAAGAAAAAAUUUGCACACACAUAGUUAAUCUCAUGAGUUCCUUCUGUAAGGGUUUAUGAUAUUUGUAUUGACACUCUUGUAAGGUUUUAUCAUAUUUGUAUGCCCAAUUGCAAGACUAAUCCAAACUUUGUAUUUGGGUACUUCUAAAUGUGUUGGACCUUCAUGCUUGAAAUCUUCAUUAAAAUAUGUGUAAUUUGUAU
Malus domestica (apple) is the source of this 828-nucleotide non-coding RNA. The record is from RefSeq and is a predicted model, not a curated record. NCBI's taxonomy places the organism in Eukaryota, Viridiplantae, Streptophyta, Magnoliopsida, Rosales, Rosaceae.